UGAGGAACAUGACUUUCGGUGGGGGAGUAGCCGGCCCAACGGCCGGGUAAUACCGCGUACGACCUUUUGGGGACAUCCCUGAUUGGUGAAAGCAGCAAUGCGCCGAAAGAGUGCCUCGCGGCCUAUCAGCUAGUUGGUGGGGUAAUGGCUCACCAAGGCAACGACGGGUAGCUGGUCUGAGAGGAUGGCCAGCCACAUUGGGACUGAGACACGGCCCAGACUCCUACGGGAGGNACG
This 237-nucleotide ribosomal RNA is filed under the name uncultured bacterium. RNAcentral describes it as "partial 16S ribosomal RNA". It matches the Rfam family "Bacterial small subunit ribosomal RNA", at positions 118 to 350 of the family's 1533-position model. The record is from RNAcentral.